Molecule: transfer RNA, 69 nt
Filed under: Sarcophilus harrisii (Tasmanian devil)
Lineage: Eukaryota; Metazoa; Chordata; Mammalia; Dasyuromorphia; Dasyuridae
Rfam family: tRNA
About the family: Transfer RNA (tRNA) molecules are approximately 80 nucleotides in length. Their secondary structure includes four short double-helical elements and three loops (D, anti-codon, and T loops).
Source: Rfam by way of RNAcentral
GUUUGUGUAGCUUAGUCUAAAGCAAAGCACUGAAAAUGCUUAGAUGGGCUUUAAUGAGUCCCACAAGCA